UACGGAGGAUGCGAGCGUCAUCCGGAUUUAUUGGGUUUAAAGGGUGCGCAGGCGGCGUGUCAAGCAAGCGGUAAAAUAGCGGGGCUCAACCCCGUCGAGCCGUUUGAACUGGCGCGCUUGAGUUCAGGCGAGGUAGGCGGAAUUCGUGGUGUAGCGGUGAAAUGCAUAGAUAUCACGAAGAACUCCGAUUGCGAAGGCAGCUUACCAGUCUGCGACUGACGCUCAGGCACGAAAGUGUGGGUAUCGAACAGG
Molecule: ribosomal RNA, 252 nt
Filed under: uncultured bacterium
Lineage: Bacteria
Description: partial 16S ribosomal RNA
Rfam family: Bacterial small subunit ribosomal RNA
Source: RNAcentral